Molecule: ribosomal RNA, 1550 nt
Filed under: Klebsiella pneumoniae
Lineage: Bacteria; Pseudomonadati; Pseudomonadota; Gammaproteobacteria; Enterobacterales; Enterobacteriaceae
Description: bacterial SSU rRNA
Rfam family: Bacterial small subunit ribosomal RNA
Source: RNAcentral
AAAUUGAAGAGUUUGAUCAUGGCUCAGAUUGAACGCUGGCGGCAGGCCUAACACAUGCAAGUCGAGCGGUAGCACAGAGAGCUUGCUCUCGGGUGACGAGCGGCGGACGGGUGAGUAAUGUCUGGGAAACUGCCUGAUGGAGGGGGAUAACUACUGGAAACGGUAGCUAAUACCGCAUAAUGUCGCAAGACCAAAGUGGGGGACCUUCGGGCCUCAUGCCAUCAGAUGUGCCCAGAUGGGAUUAGCUAGUAGGUGGGGUAACGGCUCACCUAGGCGACGAUCCCUAGCUGGUCUGAGAGGAUGACCAGCCACACUGGAACUGAGACACGGUCCAGACUCCUACGGGAGGCAGCAGUGGGGAAUAUUGCACAAUGGGCGCAAGCCUGAUGCAGCCAUGCCGCGUGUGUGAAGAAGGCCUUCGGGUUGUAAAGCACUUUCAGCGGGGAGGAAGGCGAUAAGGUUAAUAACCUUGUCGAUUGACGUUACCCGCAGAAGAAGCACCGGCUAACUCCGUGCCAGCAGCCGCGGUAAUACGGAGGGUGCAAGCGUUAAUCGGAAUUACUGGGCGUAAAGCGCACGCAGGCGGUCUGUCAAGUCGGAUGUGAAAUCCCCGGGCUUAACCUGGGAACUGCAUUCGAAACUGGCAGGCUAGAGUCUUGUAGAGGGGGGUAGAAUUCCAGGUGUAGCGGUGAAAUGCGUAGAGAUCUGGAGGAAUACCGGUGGCGAAGGCGGCCCCCUGGACAAAGACUGACGCUCAGGUGCGAAAGCGUGGGGAGCAAACAGGAUUAGAUACCCUGGUAGUCCACGCCGUAAACGAUGUCGAUUUGGAGGUUGUGCCCUUGAGGCGUGGCUUCCGGAGCUAACGCGUUAAAUCGACCGCCUGGGGAGUACGGCCGCAAGGUUAAAACUCAAAUGAAUUGACGGGGGCCCGCACAAGCGGUGGAGCAUGUGGUUUAAUUCGAUGCAACGCGAAGAACCUUACCUGGUCUUGACAUCCACAGAACUUUCCAGAGAUGGAUUGGUGCCUUCGGGAACUGUGAGACAGGUGCUGCAUGGCUGUCGUCAGCUCGUGUUGUGAAAUGUUGGGUUAAGUCCCGCAACGAGCGCAACCCUUAUCCUUUGUUGCCAGCGGUUAGGCCGUGAACUCAACGGAGACUGCCAGUGAUAAACUGGAGGAAGGUGCGGAUGACGUCAAGGCAUCCUGGCUCUUACGAGCGGGGUUACACACGUGCUACAAUGGCAUAUACAAAGAGAAGCGACCUCGCGAGAGCAAGCGGACCUCAUAAAGUAUGUCGUAGUCCGGAUUGGAGUCUGCAACUCGACUCCAUGAAGUCGGAAUCGCUAGUAAUCGUAGAUCAGAAUGCUACGGUGAAUACGUUCCCGGGCCUUGUACACACCGCCCGUCACACCAUGGGAGUGGGUUGCAAAAGAAGUAGGUAGCUUAACCUUCGGGAGGGCGCUUACCACUUUGUGNUUCAUGACUGGGGUGAAGUCGUAACAAGGUAACCGUAGGGGAACCUGCGGUUGGAUCACCUCCUUACCUUAAAGAA